RNAcentral lists this long non-coding RNA (1983 nucleotides) under Gigantopelta aegis. Its description in RNAcentral is "uncharacterized LOC121373263, transcript variant X2". Lineage: Eukaryota; Metazoa; Mollusca; Gastropoda; Neomphalida; Peltospiridae. The record is from RNAcentral.
UUACACCUACCCACUGAGUUGUUAAAACUCGCUCUGGGUGGGAGAUGGUACUGGGCAGCGAACCCUGUACCUACCAGCUUUAUGUUGGAUGAUUUUAAUUACAACGUCACCAUAGUAUCACAUGGCGAUGCAUCGCUGUUAAAUUAAUCUUUGAGCUACUUUUUAUUUCACAUUUGGAUAAUAAUUUAUAUUUUCUUAGUCCCAAAUGUGAAUGAAUGAUAAGAAUUUGUGAAUGUCACAAAUAUUUAGAUUUUUAUCUUAAUUAACAAUUAAUGUGUAUCAGACAUCACUGUGAAAAACAUUUGAGGGAAAUGAUUAAUUGCUCCCCUAACUUAGAUUCGGUUUAAUGUUUAGCGUAAAAAUCAGUCUUCCAAGACGAGCGUUAUUGACAAACUGCUGGCUGAACUUAUUCUUGAAUUUUUUUUUUAAAACCUAGCUGUCCCAUCUGCGCAGGCGCAACAGACUAAGCAGUAAACCAGUACCAAGUUCAGCCAGCAAACGUUUCGUUAACUUAGGCGAAGUAUUUGGUUCCCAACGUGGCCAUUUGGUUUACUGUGAAGCAUAUAAUCCAGUCUAGCGGACGUAUUACCACAAUUACCUAAACAAAGAAGUGAAUGCAGUUUUAGAAGUCGAAGUUUUAAUGACGGACACUUACAGUUACAAGUGUUGGUCAUGUGAUUCGACACGUCAUCAAUCAUCCAAAGUUGUCUCCCGUCCUACAUUGACUAAUUUCCAAUUACCAUAGUCACUAUAAUUAAGAUGGGAAGCCUAUUCAAACAAUAAGAAGACGUUGGAAGCAGGCGAUUUGCCUACACAGACACAACCACAGCUUAAACUGAACAUAGAGGCACGACUUGAAUAUUAAAUGUUCUGAAAAUAUAGUAGACAGAAUCAUGCUCCAAAUCAGACACCAGAAGAUGAUAAGACGACAAACAGAGAUGAAAGAGAAUGUUACCACGGUGACGGUGCAGUGUUGCCACGGUGAUGACAGCAAACAAUUGACAUGAUGCAGGAACCCACCUCCGCAGUGACAUGUUUGAUACUUGGUGGGUAUAGACGUCACCACCAAAUAUAUCAAACAUAUCUGGCAGAAGUAGGUUGCACACACUUUCCACACAGUUGUCUACCCUGGACACAAGCAACCACUAGGUGGCGUACGACUCACAAAAAGCUCUGGUGAAAGAAAGUCCUUUUUUUUCUUUUUUGUGCAAAAACAAUAAAUAUAUCAUGCUGUGUGCUGGGAACACUCAGAAUCUAAGACUGGUAAAUAACAUUUAAUAUUUAUUUCAAAGAUUUAUUUAUCUUAUUCAUUUUAAUUUUAAAAUUUUAUUUAAAAUUUAACCAUCUAUAAUGUAACCAUCUAUAUUAAAAAACCAAAAACAAUAUUGACAUAUUGUCAGAAAUAAACUGACAUCUUUAAAAAGACAUAAAAUAGAAUUUCAAAGAUUUAUUUAUCUUAUUCAUUUUAAAAAUUUAAUUUAAAAUUUAACCAUCUAUAUUAAAAAACCAAAAACAAUAUUGACAUAUCAUCAGAAAUAAAACUCACAUCUUUAAAAGAAAUAAAAUAAAGUUUCUUUUGUUAUUACAUGUAUUACAAUCAUAUUUUACCUUAUAAAAGAUUAAAUGCAUAUCAACUAUUGUUUUUUUUUUUUUUUUUUUUUUUUUUUUUUAGAACUGCUAUCUGAAAAUAAUUUUAGCUAACAGAUGGUACUGACUUUGUUAUAGUAGAAUCAGUUUUUAUCUUUUUAAACAUACAUAAUUUCUGACAACAGCCAUCAAUGCUAGUGUCAGUACAGAUAUUCCAGAACUUUCUAGCCUUUUUUUUUUUUUUAAUAACAUACUGUUUAAAAAUCUUUCUUUCUAUAACAUAGUUACAUGUUUCACUAAUUAAUACUUCAGUUGAAAUGAUUCACCAAUUAACUAAUAUUAAAUAAUUCACUAAUUAGAUUACUAACCAUCAGCCUCUUGGCACAACUGCCUAAA